UCGGCGGGCGGGCUAAGCUAGGCGAGCCGGGCACCGCCAGGGAUAAAUGACGCGGCUGGGACAGGGCUGGAGACGGUGGAAUGCUAGCCAACGAGGUAGAGUCCAAAAGAGCGGGCACAAAGACUGCCCGAGGGACUAGGGAAGGAUGACUGGCAGCUCCAGGACGGGAAAGGAGGGAGGAGACGACGGGCGUAGCUGAACAUCUAGGGCUUCGUGCAUUUCAUGCCCCAGGUGUGGUGCAGAGACGUCAGACCUGCCGGAAGGAGGUUUCCAUCUUCCAGGCCACCGGUCCCAAUGAAAUCCAGCCAAGGGCGUUCACCUGCUUCCGACUGCACCAUGUGGGUCUCUCCUAGGACCAGGAAACCCGCCACUAGCGAUUGUCUCCGUGGUAGCCCUGGUUCGGCGUCGGUUCUGACUCGGCCCGCCUGUCCACAGUUGCAGAAGCGCUGUCUGGACUGCUUCCUGGUGUAUCUCCGGGUCUUCGAGCGAUGAUCUCCGAGCUAGCGCUGCUGCCCGGAGCCGCCCGGGGCCCUGAAGGCCUCAGUGUUCCGGAAUUACAGUGUCUGCUGGGAGUUGGCGCGUCAGCAGGCAUUCCAUCUGGAGAGAAGGAUAGGGAUCGGCUCUUUGCCGUGACCACGCCUCUCUGUUCACUGGCCCCUCCCUCCGCCCAGCUGGCCCCACCCACUUAGUGCCACCGCCCCUGCUCUUCCCUGGCACCCCUCUAACUCGCAGUCCGUCCAGUCCUACUCCCAGGCUCCAGCUACCCGCCAUCUCCAGCCCAGUCCUUGGCCUCGUCCCGCGUCCUUCCCCGUCCCAGGCUCCCCAUGUUCAAACGGCUCCAGGAGCUCCCCAGGGGCUGGGAAUAUGAGUCUGCGAUGCGUUGUCCAACACAACAGCUCUUCCUACUUUCGCCUUCCGGUGCUUUCUCGGUACCUCCUCUGGGCUGCGAGAAUGAAGGUGGUCCUGCAUGAAAUCUGAAUUGGGCGAGGGGAGACGGUCGUACCAAUAGGAUGCUGAGAUCGUGGCUCGGGUCCUUUUGUCUGGGCAGAAUCUCAGGGGCUCCCUGAAUCUGAUCAAGUGAGUGAGAGCUGUUCCUUUCUGUACUAUGGGCUCCCCUGGGGAGGGUUGGAGCCACAGGGCCUCUCACCUCCCAUUCCUGCUGUUUCAGAAAUCUCAGCCUGCAUUUGCAUAGAGGACCCUUUGCCCUGAGUGGGCUGUAAUACUCUAUCUGGAGUCCGCCUUGUGCCCACCAAGGUUCCCAGGGAAGACUCCUACUCCCUGGUCCCCACACCUCUGAGUGAUCUGUUUUAUGGAAGAGUCUGACUAUUCCCAGGUUCCAGGCCUUAAGACGCUGCUGGACAUCACCCCCCAGAUGGUCCUGCUGCACUAUGUCAACCUUGAGCUGCCUGGAGCCUGCCAUCACCCCAUCACCCUCAGCCCUGGGGCUAGCUUCCCAAACAGAUGCUCUUUGUCACAGCAUCACCCCACAUCUGGAGACUGGAGUUCCCACAGAGGCGGGAGUGAGAGACGGUAGAGGAGAACAGAGGAUUGAGUUCUCCAGAUGACUUCUCUUGGGAGGCCUGUGAGCUCUGGGGAAACUGAGGCUCAGAAAUCGGGCUGCUUGGUCGCCAUCGAGGCAGCAGUAGCGCUGCCACUCACACAUCGGCCACUCACUCCAGUGCAACCAGCCUGGAAAGUUCUGAUGAGACUCCAAGUGUAUCCUCCCCAGGCUGCCUGAAGGUGGAUCUUCCCUCUUCUUCUGUCCUUAGGCCUACUCUUCAGGACAUCCUGGACAGCAUCCAAGAGGUGAGGUGAUCCUCUUGGGGUUCUCUGAAUCCCCUUGAUCACGGGGAAGGGGGAGCAGCAGUCCCCAGGAGUAAGCAGGGCCAAUCCUGGGUGCUGGGGUCUCUUAGACAUCCAGGAGACUCCCACACUGCCUUCUCAUCUCCCAGAAUGGAGGUGGCCUGCAUCCUGCCCACUGUAGGGUCUCUCUCUUCAAGGCUCAUCUGCCUCCGGGGCAGUAAGCCCCUUCUUCCAGGCAGUAGCUAGACUGGGUCUCUAUGGCCUCACUGGGCUUCAGGAACCCUGAUGGAUGAUUGGGUGCUCAGCACACCUCACUUGACCAGAGCUUGGACACCUAGAAAGCUCUGGCCCCAGGUCACAGAAGGGACUCACAGCCUUCACCCAUCAGUCCAGCAUCAGUAUUCUAACAAUCCCAAGCCACAUUUACUGAACUCAUGUUCUGCUCCAAUAACCACACCACUCCCCAUUUUAACUUUGUUGGCCUUCCAUCUUUAAAAUAAAAUCUGAGAUCCACACCGUGACUUCUGAAGCCCUGCUUGGUGUUCCAAUCUCUCUCCAACUUUCUCCUUUGCCCAUUACAAUCUGACCAAGAUGGUCUCUCUCUAUGCUUUGAACGCAUCUGUGUUUUCCUGCCUUUGGGUCUUUGCCCAGGCCUCUUUCUACUUGGAACUAGAUUGUAAGCCCUAUAAUGGCAGGGACUGUGUUCAGUUUUGUUCAGUUUUGUUUCUCUCUAAAUCCUCAUGUGUUUAAACAAUAGACAAUAAUGCCAGCUCUAACAGGUCUUAAUAAACAGUCCUGGAAUAAA
Long non-coding RNA from Odocoileus virginianus texanus, 2608 nucleotides. RefSeq lists it as uncharacterized. The record is from RefSeq and is a predicted model, not a curated record. NCBI's taxonomy places the organism in Eukaryota, Metazoa, Chordata, Mammalia, Artiodactyla, Cervidae.